UUGAGACCACCUGCUGGGUGCAGGGGCGCUUGUUUUGGGGGCGAAGAGCAUUUGGGUUGGGGAUCGGAACUUGGAUACAUUUUCUGUUACUUAUUUAUUUUUCAGAACAUACACCCCCUCCCCCACCCCAAUCAAUCUGGUGAGGUCUAGCCUGGGGGCUGCAACUCUCCAAGCCCCUCACAAGCCACUCAUUCCAUGUUCCUGAUCGUCCUCUCAUCUCCAUCAAGCCUUGAUCCUCAUCUUCCCAUCCUCAUCCCACCCUUCCCAUUAUUCCCCCAUCCCUAUCCCCAGUUACAGCAACCCAGUCUUGUGGAGAGGAAGCUGCAUCUACUUAAAAUAAAAAUUUUGGCCUCCGCCAGCCAGAGGAAGAACCAACUCCAUGCCAAGGUCUGGUACAAGGAUAAUCAUGUGCAGAGGUGGACUUUCCUGCGAAGAAGCCUCCUAGAACACAGGCAGAUGGAUACACAUGCUGGCCAUGGCCUCUGCUGUGGACGAGAAAAGACACCAGACCUCCAGACUCCAACUCAGCCGGGACAUCCAGAACCCUGCCAGGAGCCUCGGAUCCAGGAUAGACGUUUGCCUCCCACCAUGCGAGACUUUGAGUCAGAUCAAAAGGCCUGGAAGCAGCGAUGCCACCCCAGCUGGGCAGUUUGGCCCCUGUGCCAGGAGUGUGGCUAAGCUUGGCAAAUCAAUCGACCCAGACCUUCUUCCCCUCUGAGGGAAGAAGGCAACUGCUGUCUCCAUCCCAGCGCACAAUGACAAGGCCAUGCCCAGCAGGGUGGAUAAAUACAUGUUGCCUGCCUUGGGCCCGCUCCAGUCGGUGACCCUUGGGAUAAGGACAUUAGGUACGGGAAGCACCUGGCAGCUUGUAUCCUCAACUCUUCCAGCUUGGACAAAGCAGAGGUGACAUCCCCACAUGUUGUUAGUGUGACCUCACUGGAUUAAGGGCUGACCCAGAAGGUGGGAAAACUUGUUGACCGUCACCUCCUCAGCUGUGCUGAGGGACAGGCUGAGGGAGGAGUCGAGGGCAUCUUUCCCACUACCUAAUAUUUGCUCAAUAAGCCUUUUCCAGCCUUUCCAGCCAUGGCUUUCCACCAGCAAAGUCCUCUCCCAUACCAGAAAACAUAGACUUUUAUCUUCCUGUGACACCAAGACAUCCAGAAGGGUGGGCCAUGGACCAGCUUUCACUCUGCAAGCCAGAGAGGUUUGGAAAGGACCUUAAAGACCAUCUCAUUCCAUGAUGUUGCAGAGGUCUGAGAUGACCUUGUGGAUGGCCUGAAGCAUCCCAGCCAGCCCCUUGACCAGCCUCCUUGCCCUGGGGCAAGGUGAGAGAGCCCAUCACUGAACUGGCCAUGGUGGGGGGAGGAGCCAGGAGACCCCUCCUAGCUUCUCCCCUGCAGGUCUCGGGAGGGUGCUGAACUGCACCCCAAAAGCAGGGUGAAGAGCUGAUGGCGAAGAACAAGCAAUUAUGCUGCUUUUUCAGGUGCAGAUUCAGCCCGUGCAAUAGUGGCACCAAAUCUGGGCCACUGCAUCUCUGGGCAGACCAAGAUGGCACCACCAGAGGCUAUGGUGUACAGUCUCCACACCCUCACUCACCCUAGGAUCUGGAAAAUCUUUUGGAUGUUCAGCUUGGAGAUGAGGAACCUUAUCAGGAUGCAGAGUGCAAGGAGGAGGUUGA
Cyanistes caeruleus (blue tit) is the source of this 1678-nucleotide long non-coding RNA. Lineage: Eukaryota; Metazoa; Chordata; Aves; Passeriformes; Paridae. The record is from Ensembl.